AUGUCGUUAGCGGGAUGCCUUGCGAUGCUUUCGUGCGGCCCACUUCCCUUCCGUCUGGUGGCUAGUGGCCAUCGGGUGCGUAAGGUCGGGGAACGUGCCCACCAACGGGGGAUACCUACCCGAAAGCGUACCUCCUCCCGCUUUCGCCCUUCGGGGGAAAGCAGGGGAUCGCACGACCUUGCACUAUUGGAGCGGCCGAUAUCGGGUUAUCUAGUUGGUGGGGGAACGGCUCACCGGGGGGACGAUCGGAAGCUGGGUUGAUAGGACUACCUUCCCCAAUGGGACUGAGACCCGGCCCCUACUCCUACGGGAGGAAGCCGUGGGCGAUUUUGGUAAUGGGGGAAACCCUGAUCCAGCCAUCCCGCGUGUGCGAUGAAGGCCUUCGGGUUGUAAAGCACUUUUGGCAGGAAAGAAACGUCGCGGGCUAAUACCCCGCGGAACUGACGGUACCUGCAGAAUAAGCACCGGCUAACUACGUGCCAGCAGCCGCGGUAAUACGUAGGGUGCAAGCGUUAAUCGGAAUUACUGGGCGUAAAGCGUGCGCAGGCGGUUCGGAAAGAAAGAUGUGAAAUCCCAGAGCUUAACUUUGGAACUGCAUUUUUAACUACCGGGCUAGAGUGUGUCAGAGGGAGGUGGAAUUCCGCGUGUAGCAGUGAAAUGCGUAGAUAUGCGGAGGAACACCGAUGGCGAAGGCAGCCUCCUGGGAUAACACUGACGCUCAUGCACGAAAGCGUGGGGAGCAAACAGGAUUAGAUAC
Molecule: ribosomal RNA, 757 nt
Filed under: Alcaligenes sp. HPC 1029
Lineage: Bacteria; Pseudomonadati; Pseudomonadota; Betaproteobacteria; Burkholderiales; Alcaligenaceae
Description: bacterial SSU rRNA
Rfam family: Bacterial small subunit ribosomal RNA
Source: RNAcentral